AAAUUGAAGAGUUUGAUCAUGGCUCAGAUUGAACGCUGGCGGCAGGCCUAACACAUGCAAGUCGAACGGUAACAGGAAGCAGCUUGCUGCUUUGCUGACGAGUGGCGGACGGGUGAGUAAUGUCUGGGAAACUGCCUGAUGGAGGGGGAUAACUACUGGAAACGGUGGCUAAUACCGCAUAACGUCGCAAGACCAAAGAGGGGGACCUUCGGGCCUCUUGCCAUCAGAUGUGCCCAGAUGGGAUUAGCUUGUUGGUGAGGUAACGGCUCACCAAGGCGACGAUCCCUAGCUGGUCUGAGAGGAUGACCAGCCACACUGGAACUGAGACACGGUCCAGACUCCUACGGGAGGCAGCAGUGGGGAAUAUUGCACAAUGGGCGCAAGCCUGAUGCAGCCAUGCCGCGUGUAUGAAGAAGGCCUUCGGGUUGUAAAGUACUUUCAGCGGGGAGGAAGGUGUUGCGGUUAAUAACCGCAGCAAUUGACGUUACCCGCAGAAGAAGCACCGGCUAACUCCGUGCCAGCAG
RNAcentral lists this ribosomal RNA (524 nucleotides) under Salmonella enterica. RNAcentral describes it as "bacterial SSU rRNA". It matches the Rfam family "Bacterial small subunit ribosomal RNA", at positions 1 to 514 of the family's 1533-position model. Lineage: Bacteria; Pseudomonadati; Pseudomonadota; Gammaproteobacteria; Enterobacterales; Enterobacteriaceae. The record is from RNAcentral.